GGGAGCCAAGCGUGUCUUGCGUGCUCUAUGGCGCUUUCGGCGUCGCACAGCGCACCCGCCCGGCCUGGAGGUCCGCCGCGGAGAAGUCUCACUCUCUGUCACCCAGGCUGGAGUGCAGUGCCACGAUCUCAGCUCACUGCAACCUCCGCCUCCGGGGUUCAAGCAAUUCGUCUGCCUCAGCCUCCCGAGUAGCUGGGAUUGCAGGCACCUGCCACCAUUCCCAGCUAACACUUUGUAUUUUUAGUAGAGACAGGAUUUCACCAUAUUAGCCAGGCUGGUCUCAAAACCUGACCUCAAGUGAUCCACCGGCCUUGGCCUCCCAAAGUGCUGAGAUGAUAGGUGUGAGCCACCUGCUUUUAACUUGUUCAGCUACAAAGGCAUGUCUGUGAAUGCACAACCAUAAUGGCUCAUCAUGGGCCCAGAGCUAUGACCAUGGUAAGGUACCAAGCAUCCUACACCAUGUGCGUGUUGAUAAGAAUCAACAUCUUUGCCUAUUCUUGUGAUUUUCUGGCUGAGUAUAGCUUCUUGGGGGCAAGUGUGUGUUCUACACCACCAGGAGCAAGCUUCUCUAUUGAUAGACUUCUGGGCUUCUCUGGAGAAACCAAACGCUAAAGGCCUUUCUGAGGAGAGUCAGAAAUGCUGCCUGCAGUAUGAGGCACAUUGCCAAUUCUUGACUGUGUUAACGGAGGUUCCAGCUACCAGGAUGCCUCCGAGUGUGUGUACCUUGUGACAGAGAAAGGUACUUCUCAGCCGUAGUAAAGGAUGCUCUCAAGGGUACUCUGCAAAGCUUCUGACUGCCAGGCACUUCUCAGGGAAAAGCUUUGUUUUUCAAAUCUCUUUGUUUUGUGGACUUGGUAUUUUCUGUUUUACCUUCUUGUUGCUGUAAUUCUGAUGAAUGAAAGGUACAUUUUGCAGAAUUGAACUUCCUGCCUGAAAGGAGCCUUUGCAUGGGGAUUAGCCAUCAGUAGCCAUCCGGUCUUAGAGGGUCCUAAGAGUGCUCCAUCGGGCCCGUCAGCCACUUCCCUGGAUCCCCACAGGAACUCAUUCAGAACGAGUCACAUGCUGCUUUGUACCUGGAUGCUUCCUCGUGUACAUCAUGUUUGCAAAGGAAGUAGCCAGCUCUUCGUGGACAGGAACUGUGUCUUACUCUUCUGCCAUCCCUCCCCUCAGGCAGCACUGCCGAGAGCAUUCGCAGUGGCCAUGGAACUCUGUUGAUUGAAUGUUGGCUUGAGGAAGUUCCUGAUGUAGUUGGGCCUGUAGCAGUUGGGAUCUGGCUUCUGCGAUACUCAAGUAGUCCUACUGAAUUACAGUACCGUCAGAACCCUGUGCACAACCCUGAAAUGGGUCAGAACUCCACACUGUGCCAUAAAGAGGAAAAUUGUCAACAGGGAAGUCUAAGGAAACACCCUCUUUUGUGGAAGGCAGCAGUGGCAUGAGAGCCACCCUCUGGGCCAAAGGUGCAGCCUGACAUUCUCUGCAGAAUUACACCAUGAGUUAAGAGUGUGAGCUUCGUUUCUGAGAUACAGCUCCACCCCCUCUGAUCCUGGGAAAACUUAUCAGCUUCACCAAGCCUCUGUUUCUUCACUCUUUGCUCAGUUACUAUCUACCAGGCAUGUUAAAAAUACUUUAUGUGAAUUAUUUUUGCUUUUCACUAACCCUAUUCUACAGGCAUUAAUAAGUGAGCAAAGAGAUUCUCUAUUAUUUGUUACGCAUUAUUAUGUAUUAUCUAUGUUCUUAUUAACUACUUGGUUACAAUAACGUUUGCUAAACUUUUGUUCUGUUCAUUAAAUUCUCGUUGAACCUUAACAACUGCAAAGCAGGGAGCCUCCAC
Molecule: long non-coding RNA, 1831 nt
Filed under: Macaca mulatta (Rhesus monkey)
Lineage: Eukaryota; Metazoa; Chordata; Mammalia; Primates; Cercopithecidae
Description: lncRNA (ENSMMUG00000062231.1)
Source: RNAcentral